RNAcentral lists this ribosomal RNA (253 nucleotides) under uncultured bacterium. RNAcentral's name for it is "partial 16S ribosomal RNA". It matches the Rfam family "Bacterial small subunit ribosomal RNA", at positions 524 to 776 of the family's 1533-position model. The record is from RNAcentral.
UACAGAGGGGGCAAGCGUUAUUCGGAAUUACUGGGCGUAAAGCGCGUGUAGGCGGCUUUGCAAGUCGGAUGUGAAAGCCCACGGCUCAACCGUGGAAGUGCAUCCGAAACUGCAUGGCUGGAGUCUCGGAGAGGAAGGUGGAAUGCUUGGUGUAGAGGUGAAAUUCGUAGAUAUCAAGCAGAACACCUGCGGCGAAGGCGGCCUUCUGGACGGUGACUGACGCUGAGACGCGAAAGCGUGGGUAGCAAACAGG